Non-coding RNA from Pelobates cultripes (western spadefoot toad), 248 nucleotides. The record is from the annotation of a GenBank genome assembly. NCBI's taxonomy places the organism in Eukaryota, Metazoa, Chordata, Amphibia, Anura, Pelobatidae.
CCCUGGGUUCUUGCCUUGCAUUGAUUUACAUGUGCUCUUUCGUCAUUCAAAGUCUGCUCCAUUCAAGACCAUUAUCCCCAAAUUGGUUUAUUGGGGUUCCCUCAUCCAUUUUGCCUCUUAUGCUUUAGUAUCCUAAUUCUAUUCCAGCUCUAACAGAUUCCUUCUCUAUCCUCUUGUCCCAUCUAUCUGUCUAUGAUAGCCAUUACUGUAAUUAUAGACUAAUUAAUCAAACACAACUUGUAGAUCUG